UUUUUUUUUUUUUUUUUUUUUUUUGCAAUCAAGUAAAAUCAACUACUGUGACUAAGAAAUAAUCUGCCGAGUGCCUAACCUGGUGCUCUAGCAAGAAAGAACUCUACUCAUCCAUCCUGUUACCCACAUUGCCUACCAACGGUCAGAAAGAUAGUCUUACUUUUUUAUUGAAACACAAGCACUUUUAUAAAAUUCGAGUUGACUUCGGACAUUGUGGAAAGUACAUAGGAAAUGUUGCCUUUUAUUCUCUCAUUUGGAAACUAUCAAAAGUCCCCGGACCUGGUUGCUUGCUCUUUUUGUUCUUAUAUUUGAUGGAGGAAGUAAAAUAAAAUUAAGUUGCAGUUAUUGAUGGUUGCCAUCGCUUUGGCUUCUUGAAGAAAUCUAUGCAUUUUAAAGACAAAACUAAAGCAUGGGAUCUUAAGUGAAGCGGCAGGAUGGGUCAUUGUGCGUGGCAGUCAUUCCCGGGUCCGGUGGUGUUUCUUCCUCUGAACGCCCUGGUAGCUUUCACUGCAAACGAAGGCAGUUUCCCCAGAGUUACCAUUACUUAUGGCUGUUAGAGGAUCAGCUCAUAAUUCUGUGACACACGGGAUCUUGGCAUGGUAAAUUCCGUUUCCCAGGACUUGAACCUUUAUGCUACAUUUUUGAAGAUUUUUUGAUAACAGCUAAUUAGUAAAAAAAAUAUUUUUGAUCUAAAUAUAGGCUCUGCAUACCUGUUAGAUUUUAAACAUUGCCAGUGUUUUGUCUUGUUAGUUCACAUUUUUGUCUAGGCAAGGAACAUAAGAUUUCAAAUAAAAUUUUGAACCAAAAACAUUUAUAAUGCAGUUCGGAUUUUUCUAUUACUUUUUAUACUGUACCUUAAAAGCAUUAGGCUGAAAGAGUUUAUUUUGGUGGUCAAAAAAUAUGCUUCCACUCAUGUAACUAUUUUAAAUGGUAAGAUGUAAAAUAAUGAAAGACACCUAAAUUGCUUUAUUCAGUAAACAGGUUUUUUUAAGAAUGUUUAUCUCAGCCGGUAGGCAUAUACUUGGUAUAAGAGAAGUUGGUCUUUUUCUUGUUGAAACGCGUUAGCUGGUUAAAGAUAUUCUUGAAAUUUUUUUUUCUGAUUGUAAUUAAUUUUUGAAAAUAUAGAAAGCUCUUUAUUCCUUGUAAGUAUUCAAGAUGCCUGCUUUUUUUAUGCAAUUGUGGAGAGAAUGUCAGAUGUUUUAAUAUAUUUGUUAAUCUGAAAACUUUGCUAUUGAGUCAUUUUCUUCGUUUGGAAGACGGAGGGACAAAAGUGUUUUUUAUCAAAGUAGGCAAUGGAGGUAACAAAUCACGUGCAUUUUUUAGGAAAAAUAUUUACAGAGUCAUAGAAUACGCACCUUUGAAAAAUCGUGGAUAGUGUGCAUUUACGGUUUAUGCAUUUCGGAACAUACAGCUUCACAAUUCGACGGUGGUGUUUGCAUUUGUGGGCGGAUGGAUAUGGUUCUUAGUUUGCUGUUUGGGAACAGACUGUAGCCUUCUCUUCAAAAAUAUGCCCCAGCACUUAAUCGGUGAUAAUCAAGCCACACACAGCACCCACUGGUGCUGAGAGUGAGCAGAAACUGAGACCAAAAUCAAAUGUGCCCUUUGGGGAGAAAAGAGGUAACUUCACGCCAACCUGACGGGGUGAGGGAGGGUCAGGAAUGGACUGAUCCAAUCGGCCUUUGUCCCCUCAAACUGCGUGUGUGUGUGUGUGUGUGUGUGUGUGUGUGUGUGUGUGUACACACAACCAUAAUCUGGAACUUUAGGAAAUAAGACCAUUUUCUUACUGCAAAAAGAACUAGAUGUCAUUCCUAACAGGUUUCUUUCUAAAUUGCACUAAUUAAUAUUGGACUAUUACGAGUCCAUCAAUUUCUGAUGUCUCGAUGUUUUUUGCAAUCCUUGUGAAAAGCAUUCUUGAUUUAAAUGUUACUAACACAUAUUCUUUAAUAAGUUCCUUAACACUGGCUUUUUUUUUAAGUUGUACAAAUAGGUUUUUCUCUUGUGGCUUUAGCACUUUAAGAAGUUUGGUGUUUGCAUCGCUUUCGGUGUGUCCAGCAGCGUUUCCCGGUAUGUGGGCCACACGACCCGGGAGGAACCUCAGUGGUCGUCUUUAGAUUCCGGAGGAGAAAACCAUGAGUCAAUGUCAGGUUUUUAAAAAAAUUCCAUUUAGAGACAGCCGUUUGGGAACCAAAAGAGGCCCAAGAAAUGGGAAAAAGACCAAAAAAAAAAAAAAAUUUCAAUCUGCUUGAACCCCUGUAUUCAAUUUGUCACCCAAUAGUUAGUCAUUUAAGAAACUUAGGUUUGGAGCUCCCUGGUGGCUCUGGGUUCAGGUGCUGGUGUUGUCACUGCUGUGGCGCAUGUUUGAGCCCUGGCUUGAGAACUUCCUCAGGCCACACGCAGGGCCAAAACAAACACCAACCCCAAAAAACCCUUGGGUUUGCCCUUUGUUCUUAGUAAUAACGGGCUUGUCAAGUUUUGCAACUGGCACUGUGGCACUCCCGCCGCAUCCGGUUUGGUCGCAGGCAUACACACCUCUCUGACCUGUACUUCUUCCCAAAGGGACAGGAGGAGUUCCCGCUGUGGCUCGGAGGGUUAAGAACCAGACGUUGUCUCUGUGAGGACUCAGGUUCCACCCCUGGCCUCACUCAGUGGUAUACGGAUCCUGCGUUGCCGUGGCUGUGGUGUAGGCUGCAGCUGCAACUCCGAUUUGACUCCUGGAGGUUCCAUAUGCUGCAGGUGUGGCUAUAAAAAGAAAAACGAACAAGCAAACAAAAAAGGGACAGAGGCAUGGAGGGAGGGAUAAAUUAGGAGUUUGGAAUUAGCAGAUACACGCUACUGUAUAUAAAAUAGAUAGCCGACAAGGACCUACUGUAUUACUGUACAGCACAGGGAACUAUACUCAGUACAUUGUAAUAACCUAUAAAGAAAAAGAAUGUAUGUGUGUGUUUAUAUUUAUAUAUAUACGUAGAGAGAGAAAAAACUGAAUUGUUGUGCUGCAGUCUGAAACUAACGAUAUUAUAACUCAACUACUUACAUUAAAAUUUUUCUUUAAUAAAAGAAAAGAACCCGAGUUUCCUCCUGCUGUCACAACAGGAUUGGCGCUGUGCCAGGAUGCAGCACAGCGGGUUAAGGAUCCAGCGUUGCCUCAGCUUCCGGGGUAGGUCGCAACUGUGACAUGGAUCUGAUCCCUGGCCCGGGAGCUCCAAAUGC
This 3207-nucleotide long non-coding RNA is filed under the name Sus scrofa (pig). Its description in RNAcentral is "lncRNA (ENSSSCG00050045023.1)". The record is from RNAcentral. Lineage: Eukaryota; Metazoa; Chordata; Mammalia; Artiodactyla; Suidae.